GACAUAGGUGGCAAACGUUAUCCGGAAUUAUUGGGCGUAAAGAGUGCGUAGGUGGUUUAAUAAGUUAGUAGUGGUAAAUUGAGGCUCAACCUCAUGGAAAUUACUAAUACUAUUAACUAGAGGAUCGGAGGGGUUAACGGAAUUCUAUGUGUAGCGGUAAAAUGCUCAAAUAUAUAGAGGAACACCAAUUGGCGAAGGCAGUUAACUAUUCGAUUCCGACUGUUGAGGC
Molecule: ribosomal RNA, 229 nt
Filed under: uncultured bacterium
Lineage: Bacteria
Description: partial 16S ribosomal RNA
Rfam family: Bacterial small subunit ribosomal RNA
Source: RNAcentral